CCUACGGGUCGCAGCAGUAGGGAAUCUUCGGCAAUGGACGAAAGUCUGACGGAGCAACGCCGCGUGAGUGAUGAAGGUUUUCGGAUCGUAAAGCUCUGUUGUUAGGGAAGAACAAGUGCCGUUCAAAUAGGGCGGCACCUUGACGGUACCUAACCAGAAAGCCACGGCUAACUACGUGCCAGCAGCCGCGGUAAUACGUAGGUGGCAAGCGUUGUCCGGAAUUAUUGGGCGUAAAGGGCUCGCAGGCGGUUUCUUAAGUCUGAUGUGAAAGCCCACGGCUCAACCGUGGAGGGUCAUUGGAAACUGGGGGACUUGAGUGCAGAAGAGGAGAGCGGAAUUCCACGUGUAGCGGUGAAAUGCGUAGAGAUGUGGAGGAACACCAGUGGCGAAGGCGGCUCUCUGGUCUGUAACUGACGCUGAGGCGCGAAAGCGUGGGGAGCAAACAGGAUUAGAUACCCUUGUAGUC
This 466-nucleotide ribosomal RNA is filed under the name uncultured bacterium. Its description in RNAcentral is "bacterial SSU rRNA". It matches the Rfam family "Bacterial small subunit ribosomal RNA", at positions 338 to 795 of the family's 1533-position model. The record is from RNAcentral.